RNAcentral lists this ribosomal RNA (163 nucleotides) under uncultured Anaerolineaceae bacterium. RNAcentral describes it as "partial 16S ribosomal RNA". It matches the Rfam family "Bacterial small subunit ribosomal RNA", at positions 1223 to 1382 of the family's 1533-position model. Lineage: Bacteria; Bacillati; Chloroflexota; Anaerolineae; Anaerolineales; Anaerolineaceae. The record is from RNAcentral.
CGCUACAAUGGCCGGGUACAAUGGGGAGCCAACCCGCGAGGGGGAGCCAAUACCGUCAAAGCCGGUCUCAGUUCGGAUUGCAGGCUGCAACCCGCCUGCAUGAAGUCGGAGUUGCUAGUAACCGCAGGUCAGCCAUACUGCGGUGAAUACGUUCCCGGGCCUU